Molecule: ribosomal RNA, 553 nt
Filed under: Bactrocera oleae (olive fruit fly)
Lineage: Eukaryota; Metazoa; Arthropoda; Insecta; Diptera; Tephritidae
Description: partial large subunit ribosomal RNA
Rfam family: Bacterial large subunit ribosomal RNA (bases 305-464)
Source: RNAcentral
UAAUCAUUAGUCUUUUAAUUGAAGGCUGGUAUGAACGGUUGGACGAGGUAUAAGCUGUUUCAUAUAAAUUUAUAAUAGAAUUUUAUAUUUUAGUCAAAAAGCUAAAAUAUAUUUAAAAGACGAGAAGACCCUAUAAAUCUUUAUAUUUUGUGUUGUUUAAAUUUUUUGGAAUCGGUUUAUUUUUAUAAUAUAAAAUAUUUUGUUGGGGUGAUAUUAAAAUUUAAUUAACUUUUAAUUAUUUAAAAUCAUUAAUUUAUGAGUUAUUGAUCCAUUAAUAGUGAUUAUAAGAUUAAGUUACUUUAGGGAUAACAGCGUAAUUUUUUUGGAGAGUUCAUAUCGAUAAAAAAGUUUGCGACCUCGAUGUUGGAUUAAGAUAUAAUUUUAGGUGUAGUCGCUUAAAUGUUAAGUCUGUUCGACUUUUAAAUUCUUACAUGAUCUGAGUUCAGACCGGCGUAAGCCAGGUUGGUUUCUAUCUUUAAACUUUUAUAAUGCCUUAGUACGAAAGGACCAGGCAUUAAAAUAAUAAUAUUUUAUUUAUAGAAUGUGAUUAAUU